AGAACGAACGCUGGCGGCAUGCCUAACACAUGCAAGUCGAACGAGACCUUCGGGUCUAGUGGCGCACGGGUGCGUAACGCGUGGGAAUCUGCCCUUGGGUUCGGAAUAACAGUUGGAAACGGCUGCUAAUACCGGAUGAUGUCUUCGGACCAAAGAUUUAUCGCCCAGGGAUGAGCCCGCGUAGGAUUAGCUUGUUGGUGAGGUAAAGGCUCACCAAGGCGACGAUCCUUAGCUGGUCUGAGAGGAUGAUCAGCACACUGGGACUGAGACACGGCCCAGACUCCUACGGGAGCAGCAGUGGGGAAUAUGGACAAUGGGCGAAAGCCUGAUCCAGCAAUGCCGCGUGAGUGAUGAAGGCCUUAGGUUGUAAAGCUACUUUACCCGGGAUGAAUAUAGACGAGUACCGGAUAAGUAAGCUACCGGCUAACGUCCGUGCCAGCAGCCGAC
RNAcentral lists this ribosomal RNA (447 nucleotides) under uncultured soil bacterium. Its description in RNAcentral is "bacterial SSU rRNA". It matches the Rfam family "Bacterial small subunit ribosomal RNA", at positions 26 to 518 of the family's 1533-position model. The record is from RNAcentral.